Podarcis lilfordi (Lilford's wall lizard) is the source of this 76-nucleotide non-coding RNA. NCBI's taxonomy places the organism in Eukaryota, Metazoa, Chordata, Lepidosauria, Squamata, Lacertidae. The record is from the annotation of a GenBank genome assembly.
GGAUAGCUCAGUCGGUAGACCAUUAGACCCUAAAUCUCAGGGUUGUAGGUUGUGGGUUCAAGCCCCACGUUGGGCA